CUCAGCAGCAAAGUCAUGGGAGGUGAAUCAUCAUCGCCAUCUAGAAGUCCAUCUCCACCUCCAGCUAGAAGUCCAUCUCCACCUCCAGCUAGAAGUCCAUCUCCACCUCCAGCUGAAUGUCCACCUCCA
Long non-coding RNA from Stegastes partitus (bicolor damselfish), 129 nucleotides. RefSeq lists it as uncharacterized. NCBI's taxonomy places the organism in Eukaryota, Metazoa, Chordata, Actinopteri, Pomacentridae. The record is from RefSeq and is a predicted model, not a curated record. The transcript is spliced from 3 exons.